UACGGGGGGGGCUAGCGUUGUUCGGAAUUACUGGGCGUAAAGGGCGCGUAGGCGGCCUACUAAGUCGGACGUGAAAUCCCUCGGCUCAACCGGGGAACUGCGUCCGAUACUGGUGGGCUCGAAUCCGGGAGAGGGAUGUGGAAUUCCAGGUGUAGCGGUGAAAUGCGUAGAUAUCUGGAGGAACACCGGUGGCGAAGGCGGCAUCCUGGACCGGUAUUGACGCUGAUGCGCGAAAGCCAGGGGAGCAAACGGG
Molecule: ribosomal RNA, 253 nt
Filed under: uncultured bacterium
Lineage: Bacteria
Description: partial 16S ribosomal RNA
Rfam family: Bacterial small subunit ribosomal RNA
Source: RNAcentral